UCGCCUAAUGGUAAGGCAACUGUCUCGAAAACAGUCUAUGCAGGUUCAAUUCCUGUG
This 57-nucleotide transfer RNA is filed under the name Nostoc sp. PCC 7120 = FACHB-418. Its description in RNAcentral is "tRNA-Ser (CGA) (tRNA-Ser-CGA-2-1)". It matches the Rfam family "tRNA", at positions 10 to 63 of the family's 71-position model. From Rfam's summary of the family: Transfer RNA (tRNA) molecules are approximately 80 nucleotides in length. Their secondary structure includes four short double-helical elements and three loops (D, anti-codon, and T loops). The record is from RNAcentral. RNAcentral also lists the same sequence under 5 other names. Lineage: Bacteria; Bacillati; Cyanobacteriota; Cyanophyceae; Nostocales; Nostocaceae.